RNAcentral lists this long non-coding RNA (494 nucleotides) under Oreochromis niloticus (Nile tilapia). RNAcentral describes it as "lncRNA (ENSONIG00000027342.1)". Lineage: Eukaryota; Metazoa; Chordata; Actinopteri; Cichliformes; Cichlidae. The record is from RNAcentral.
GUGGUGGCGGUAAUGCACCAGAAACGUUGUUGCCAAUCGACAUUAAACAAGAAGAAGUAGCAGCGCUUGUAAAAAGCAGAACUUGGCCGUAAGGAAAUCGCGUUUCUGUUUCUGAUGUGUGUUUGGAAAGAUAUACGCUCUCGUUGAUCGUUGUAAACAAAGAACGUGUACUUGUGCUGACUGACGGGAGUAACAUGCCGGAAAGAGGAGGUCAGUGAGCCCACUGUCUCUACUAGUCCUAGUCCAGUUAUAAAAUCGGCGCGCUUGCCUCCUUCUCCCCUGGUGGAUCUUUAAUUCGGGUUACUCAGAGAGGGAUCCACAGCUUCUGCAAUUUCAGCUUGACCCUCUAAACAGCAAAUUAGCACCUCAUAUCACAGUGCAGCAAAAGCAGUUUCAUGAGCACUGGGAAGGACAAGCCCAGAGCCCAAAACAGACAGUGCAGGAGAUGACAAGGUUAGUAAUUGUAUGGUGAAAAUUAUACUUCUAGUUAUCUU